GUUAGGAAUAUUGGACAAUGGGCGAAAGCCUGAUCCAGCCAUGCCGCGUGAACGAUGAAGGCCUUCGGGUUGUAAAGUUCUUUAGCCGAUGAUUAUAAUGACUGUAGUCGGAAAAUAAGCCCCGGCUAACUUCGUGCCAGCAGCCGCGGUAAUACGAAGGGGGCGAGCGUUAUUCGGAAUCACUGGGCGUAAAGCGUGCGUAGGCGGUUUUGUAAGUUAGGAGUGAAAGCCCAGGGCUCAACCUUGGAAUUGCUCUUAAAACUGCAAGGCUCGAAUCUCGGAGAGGAUAGCGGAAUUUCCAGUGUAGCAGUGAAAUGCGUAGAUAUUGGAAGGAACACCAGUGGCGUAAGCGGCUAUCUGGACGAGUAUUGACGCUGAGGCACGAAAGCGUGGGGAUCAAACAGGAUUAGAUACCCGAGUAGU
RNAcentral lists this ribosomal RNA (423 nucleotides) under uncultured bacterium. RNAcentral's name for it is "partial 16S ribosomal RNA". It matches the Rfam family "Bacterial small subunit ribosomal RNA", at positions 354 to 794 of the family's 1533-position model. The record is from RNAcentral.